AAUGAACGUUGGCGGCGUGGAUUAGGCAUGCAAGUCGAACGAGAAACUUUUUUAAGAUACUUCGGUUGAUUAAAAAAGCGGACAGUGGCGAAAGGGAGAGUAACACGUAGAUACGUACCUGAAGGCUCAGGAUAGCGGGGAGAAAUCGCCGGUAAUACUGAAUAAUGUCUCCGGACCAAAGAUUUAUCACCUACAGAGCGGUCUGCGUACUAUUAGUUAGUUGGUGGGGUAAAGGCCUACCAAGGCAAAGAUGGUUAGCGGGUGUGAGAGCAUGGCCCGUCUCACUGGGACUGAGACACUGCCCAGACACCUACGGGUGGCUGCAGUCGAGAAUCUUCCGCAAUGGACGAAAGUCUGACGGAGCGACGCCGCGUGCGGGAUGAAGGCCCUCGGGUUGUAAACCGCUGUCAUAGGGGAGGAAAUUUUGACCGAUCCUAAGAGGAAGCACAGGCUAAGUUCG
RNAcentral lists this ribosomal RNA (460 nucleotides) under uncultured Planctomycetaceae bacterium. RNAcentral's name for it is "bacterial SSU rRNA". It matches the Rfam family "Bacterial small subunit ribosomal RNA", at positions 29 to 505 of the family's 1533-position model. The record is from RNAcentral. Lineage: Bacteria; Pseudomonadati; Planctomycetota; Planctomycetia; Planctomycetales; Planctomycetaceae.